Carya illinoinensis is the source of this 139-nucleotide small nucleolar RNA. RefSeq annotates it as small nucleolar RNA Z247. NCBI's taxonomy places the organism in Eukaryota, Viridiplantae, Streptophyta, Magnoliopsida, Fagales, Juglandaceae. The record is from RefSeq and is a predicted model, not a curated record. The transcript has a single exon.
CCUCUUAAUGAUGAUCAUAUUGUCUCCUAGGUUCUUGCAGGUCUCGGUUCUGACUACAACUCAAUCAUCACUUCCAUUAUGACUCAAGUGGAACUUAUGCCAUUGGAAGUUGUUUAUGGGCAUCUUCUAACUUAUGAAC